Long non-coding RNA from Trichosurus vulpecula (common brushtail), 185 nucleotides. RefSeq lists it as uncharacterized. NCBI's taxonomy places the organism in Eukaryota, Metazoa, Chordata, Mammalia, Diprotodontia, Phalangeridae. The transcript has 3 exons. The record is from RefSeq and is a predicted model, not a curated record.
UAACUCUGAAAACCGAAGCAUCAAAAGGUUGGAGCACUGGGAAGAGCAAUAGAGGACUGAAUUUUGAUGUGCAGAAAACCUUAAAAGACACUCAUUUUGGCAGAAAGUUCCAGAUUUCUGCUGUCCACGGAAGUCAGUCUGUCCUUGGCCUUCGUUACUUCUUUCUAGAAUCACCACACCCGACA